CCUCAUCAUAAUGCCGCCGGAGAAAGUAGUCAGGCAUGUCAAACAGACACUCGUGUUGCAUCUGGCUCGGGUGAUCCGAGGAUCUCAAGAAUCAGGACCUGAUGUGGCCCAGGAUCGGGAGUAACAGUACAACAGAGGACGGACAAGCAGCCGAAGUUCCUGGGUUUUUGGAAUGCAAGGCAUUAAAGGUGAC
Long non-coding RNA from Micropterus dolomieu (smallmouth bass), 193 nucleotides. RefSeq lists it as uncharacterized. The transcript is spliced from 3 exons. The record is from RefSeq and is a predicted model, not a curated record. Lineage: Eukaryota; Metazoa; Chordata; Actinopteri; Centrarchiformes; Centrarchidae.